AUACGGAGGGUCCAAGCGCUAUCCGGAUUUAUUGGGUUUAAAGGGUCCGUAGGCGGGAUAUUAAGUCAGUGGUGAAAUCCUACAGCUCAACUGUAGAACUGCCAUUGAUACUGAUAUUCUUGAGUACACCUGAAGUGGGCGGAAUAUGUCAUGUAGCGGUGAAAUGCAUAGAUAUGACAUAGAACACCGAUCGCGAAAGCAGCUCACUAAAGUGUAACUGACGCUGUGGGACGAAAGCGUGGGGAGCGAACAGGAUUAGAAACCCUAGUAGUCC
RNAcentral lists this ribosomal RNA (274 nucleotides) under uncultured bacterium. RNAcentral describes it as "partial 16S ribosomal RNA". It matches the Rfam family "Bacterial small subunit ribosomal RNA", at positions 523 to 796 of the family's 1533-position model. The record is from RNAcentral.